This 484-nucleotide ribosomal RNA is filed under the name uncultured bacterium. Its description in RNAcentral is "partial 16S ribosomal RNA". It matches the Rfam family "Bacterial small subunit ribosomal RNA", at positions 30 to 507 of the family's 1533-position model. The record is from RNAcentral.
AUUGAACGCUGGCGGCAGGCCUAACACAUGCAAGUCGAGCGGAUGAAGGGAGCUUGCUCCUGGAUUCAGCGGCGGACGGGUGAGUAAUGCCUAGGAAUCUGCCUGGUAGUGGGGGAUAACGUCCGGAAACGGGCGCUAAUACCGCAUACGUCCUGAGGGAGAAAGUGGGGGAUCUUCGGACCUCACGCUAUCAGAUGAGCCUAGGUCGGAUUAGCUAGUUGGUGGGGUAAAGGCCUACCAAGGCGACGAUCCGUAACUGGUCUGAGAGGAUGAUCAGUCACACUGGAACUGAGACACGGUCCAGACUCCUACGGGAGGCAGCAGUGGGGAAUAUUGGACCAUGGGCGAAAGCCUGAUCCCGCCAUGCCGCGUGUGUGAAGAAGGUCUUCGGAUUGUAAAGCACUUUAAGUUGGGAGGAAGGGCAGUAAGUUAAUACCUUGCUGUUUUGACGUUACCAACAGAAUAAGCACCGGCUAACUUCGUG